AUUUGAAAUCUGGCUCUUUCAGGGUCCGAGUUGUAAUUUGCAGAGGGCGCUUUGGCGUUGGCAGCGGUCCAAGUUCUUUGGAACAGGACGUCACAGAGGGUGAGAAUCCCGUACGUGGUCGCUAGCCUUCGCCGUGUAAAGCCCCUUCGACGAGUCGAGUUGUUUGGGAAUGCAGCUCUAAAUGGGAGGUAAAUUUCUUCUAAAGCUAAAUACUGGCCAGAGACCGAUAGCGCACAAGUAGAGUGAUCGAAAGAUGAAAAGCACUUUGGAAAGAGAGUCAAAUAGCACGUGAAAUUGUUGAAAGGGAAGCGCUUGCAGCCAGACUUGCCUGUAGUUGCUUAUCUGGACUUUUGUCCGGUGCACUCUUCUGCGGGCAGGCCAGCAUCAGUUUGGGCGGUUGGAUAAAGGUCUCUGUCAUGUACCUCCUUUCGGGGAGGCCUUAUAGGGGAGACGACAUGCAACCAGCCUGGACUGAGGUCCGCGCAUCUGCUAGGAUGCUGGCGUAAUGGCUGUAAGCGGCCCGUCUUGAAACACGGACCAAGGAGUCUAACAUCUAUGCGAGUGUUUGGGUGUCAAGCCCAGACGCGUAAUGAAAGUGAACGGAGGUGGGAACCCUUUGGGUGCACCAUCGACCGAUCCUGAUGUCUUCGGAUGGAUUUGAGUAAGAGCAUGGCUGUUGGGACCCGAAAGAUGGUGAACUAUGCUUGAAUAGGGUGAAGCCAGAGGAAACUCUGGUGGAGGCUCGCAGCGGUUCUGACGUGCAAAUCGAUCGUCAAA
RNAcentral lists this ribosomal RNA (777 nucleotides) under Phaeosphaeria musae. Its description in RNAcentral is "eukaryotic LSU rRNA". It matches the Rfam family "Eukaryotic large subunit ribosomal RNA", at positions 113 to 909 of the family's 3401-position model. Lineage: Eukaryota; Fungi; Ascomycota; Dothideomycetes; Pleosporales; Phaeosphaeriaceae. The record is from RNAcentral.